RNAcentral lists this ribosomal RNA (435 nucleotides) under Blastocystis sp. RNAcentral's name for it is "SSU rRNA". The record is from RNAcentral. Lineage: Eukaryota; Bigyra; Opalinata; Blastocystidae.
AUGUGUAAGUAUAAAUAAUUUUACUUUGAAACUGCGAAUGGCUCAUUAUAUCAGUUAUAGUUUAUUAGAAAUAYUUUACUACUUGGAUAACCGUAGUAAUUCUAGGGCUAAUACAUGAVUAAAWCCUCAACUUCGGAAGAGGUGUGUUUAUUAGUAUGAAAACCAUAUAUCUUCGGAUAUAAUAGUGAGUAAUAAUAACCUUUCGUAUCGUAUGUCGUAAGAUAACGAUAGUUCUUUCAAGUUUCUGCCCUAUCAGCUUUCGAUGGUAGUAUAUGGGACUACCAUGGCAGUAACGGGUAACGAAGAAUUUGGGUUCGAUUUCGGAGAGGGAGCCUGAGAGAUGGCUACCACAUCCAAGGAAGGCAGCAGGCGCGUAAAUUACCCAAUCCUGACAUAGGGAGGUAGUGACAAUAAAUCACAAUGCGGAACUAUUUA